Long non-coding RNA from Motacilla alba alba, 4243 nucleotides. RefSeq lists it as uncharacterized. The transcript is spliced from 3 exons. Lineage: Eukaryota; Metazoa; Chordata; Aves; Passeriformes; Motacillidae. The record is from RefSeq and is a predicted model, not a curated record.
AUUUCUUCUACUCAAUCCUGCCCCAUCCAAAAAUAAUAAUUAAAAAAAAAAAGAAAGAAAGAAGAAAAUAGAGCGUCCGUGCAAGAAAUCAUUGGGCUAAGCAGGCUGAACCAUUUUUGGACAUUUUGUCUCUCAAGAGAAGAAGAAAAAAAAAAGGCAAGCGAACGACGGCGCUGCUCGUUGAUCGAAGUGCAAAAUGAGCUGGUCCCGGAGAUGCCGAGGACACGGCGAGCUCCCCGCUGAACCAAAGUCAAAGCCGGUGAAUGCGGCGGCAGCUGAUGGCUGGAGUGCUCCGGGUUCAGCGGCUCUCCUUCCCCUCCGCCUCUCCCCUCCGGGCGGGCUCCUGCGGCCGAAGGGCGCUGCUGCUCCGCCCGUGCCCGAGGGGCUCCGGCAGCGCCGGGGCUGCGGGGCCGCCGAGCCCCGCGGGGGCUGCGGGGGCUGCGGGGCUGCUCCUGCCGCUGCGGCCGCUGCGCCCGGCUCCAAAUGUGCUUCUCAUGCGGAGUCAAAUUAAAGGAUCCGUUUUCCUCGGGACCAGUGCCACUUCAGCGUUGUCUCUUUCCAAACAAGUCCGAGCGCUGGCAAAGGCGCGGCAUUGAUUUUGUUGCUUUUAUUUAUUGGUUUGGUUGUUUUUUUGUUGGUUUUUUUUUCCUCCCCUUUUAAAGAAAAAGAAUUUGAAAGAUAGGAGUCUUUCCUCUCUCUAAUUUUUUUUUUGUUUCUUUUUUAUUUGUCACGUAUUUCGAGAGCGAAGCGGUAGCUCUUUGGCAGAGACAUGCCUUUCAAAGGCAAGGGGAGGGUUUGCUACAUUCACCUCCCGCAGUUCGGCAAGGAUCGAAGGUAAAAUUCCCCUCCUCUCGGAAAUCACAGCCGCCACGCUCCUCGUCUGAAAGCACUGAUAUCUCCGCUUUUUUUUUUUUUUUUUUCCUUUUCUUUCCUCGCCUUUUUUAUUUAUUUAAUUUUUUUUUUCCCAGGGGCAGAAGGAGCUCUGAAGUGGACCUCUCGGUUAAUUCUUUAGCAAAGGCUGCAGAAAGCCAGGAGAGCCUCAAGAGGGGAGGGGAUAAUGUAUCCGUGACGUGUCCUCCCUCGCAGCGCCCUCCGAGGGACCCAAAUCCAGAGGAGCCAGCGCAGAGCCGCAAUUAGCACUUGCGAGGGGACGGGAGGCCGGCCCGGGGGGAGCCGGGGGCGGGGGCCGCCGGCUGGGGCAACCCCAACCCGCUCCCGGCCGAGCCCCCUGCCCCUCGCUGCCCUUCUCGCUGACCCCGAGGGGGCCUUGUCGCCCCAGCCGGGGCUCAGCCGCCCGCAGGAGGGGCCACGGGGGGUUCGGGGCCGUGACACGCGUGGUGCCCUUCCCCAGCCCCGGGAAAUGACCCGAGAGCUUCCCGCGUUGUUCUGGAUCUGGGUGAAGCGUACCUGGACACGCACACAGGCAGGUUCUAACGGGUCCGAUUCAACGAGCUCCGUGAUCGCUAACCCCGAAAAAGGAAUUUAUGUGGGACAUUUCUGUGUCCUGUGAACAAAAUAUGGAGACGAACGACCUGGUGGCAAAGGAAAGCGCGAGGGGAGCGUGUUGUACUUCCAACAAAUCGCGGUGAUUUGGAGAAAGGGCAGAUUUGCGAAUGUUUUCAACAGAAUCCCGGCAGAAAAAGAGAAAAUCACGGUGCUGCAAGGGUGGCCCAAAUCUAUCGAGGUGGAUUCGCUGUGUGCAGCUCGGGUUUUCAACUGGAGACGGAAAACAGAGAGGAAAACGAGAGGUGAGAACAACUCCAUCCAACCCAAACCAAACUCUUUUCCCCCAUCCACCCCUCGAAACAAACUCUUUUGGCAGUUCCCUUGCGCGGGUGGGUGCCCCGUGUCUUGGUGGCCAUGGGGACAAGCCCGAGCUCCAAGGGAGGGGGUCCAACACCUUUUUUUUGGGGGGGGCAAUUUUGCAUCUUUCGGGCGUGGGGGCGGCACCGCUCCCUUCCCAUCCCUGCCCCUCCGGGGAUCAAAGGAAUUCCCAGGGCCGCUCCAGCCGAGGUUUCCAGGCACAGGCAGCAGGACGGGGGUUGCCAUCCCCUGGAAAUGUCCUUGAAAGUGCCACUCUUGCCCCAAAAAACUUGGCAGCGCCGCGAUUUUGGUGUUGGUGGAGUUUUCCUUUUUUUUUUUUCUUUUUCCUCUCGGUGGAGGCUGGGGAGGAAAUUGGGGCUGCGGAGCCGAGCACAGAGCGGGGCUUAACUUUAGUCUGAUGUGCUUAGCUGAAGUAUUAACUGUGAGAAAUCCCACCAAGUCGCACAGGAAAGAAAACACCGUCAGAUAUUUGAACAUUUCCAGUCUGCACCAUCAGCACCGCUCCCAGCUCGAGGAGCAGCAGGGCUGAUCGUCCCCGGAGGAAUCCCCCGGAUUUUUUUUCCCCCUGUAACUACCGCUCCCAAGUGUGGCUGUACACACACAGCCGCUCACACACGCAAAUCCUAUAAAUGCUAAUAAAACAGAUUCCUCAGGAUUUGUUUAACUUGCCCCGGCACCGCCAUCCUAUAUUGGUAUUCAGCGGGGUUACUGGUGUGCCUGAGGAUUACUGGUGAAGUGGAAGAUUUUGGGAUCAACCUUCUAGGGUGCCACUCGGACAUGUCCCUUCAGGCGAGGUGGGAGCCAUAAACAUUGGCAAUAGGGUGGAUUCGAACUGAAUACUUGAAAGGGGGAAAAAGGGAAGCAGAGUCUUGGUGCUGGAAUGAUGAAACUAUGCAGAAUCGAGGCCUCCGGUUGCAGGGGAUCGUUUUCAGUUCCUUUCUGGAAGCUGUAUUGCUGCUAUUGUCCAUCCUUUGCUGGCCACAUGGGACACGUUUGGCAAUAGGACAGAAAAUUAUUUCUACUGGGCAUGAACUGGAAAUAUCCAGCUGGGGCAUGGAUCCCAUUUCUAAUCAGGGUGGAGGGAAGAAAAUCUCAAGGCUCUUUCUUGUUGCUCAGACAGCAUUUGGGGGGGGUUUGUCAAAAGCUCCUAUCCAGAAAAAAUACGGCUGUUUAAAAAUGAAAUAAGGGUUGUGGGGUCUUUUUUUUUUACCCUUCAAACUUGUAAAUGUGGGGGUUUUAUUUGCUGUCCAUGCUGCAGAAGGGGGUGCAUGCUGUGUGUGCUGCGCAGUGAUAACACAGGCGUGCAGCUCUGCAGGAGCUGUCAGACUUGAUGGACUGAUCCAAAUGGAUGAUAUUUGCAAAAAAUAUGCCCCAGUUAAAAACUCUCAGUGCUCAUGUUCGGGUCAGGUUCUCAAUUUCAGUUUUCUAAGGAGAAUAAAGUUGUUUUGUUAAGGUCAACUUAAUUUUUUUUUCCCCUCCACAGCCGGAGCUGGAAUUCGAUGAAUUUUCCAAAAGUAUUUUCAUAGGGCUCUGAUAAUUGGUAUUAAUUAUGACACCCAAAGUUUCGUGACCAAACAUUUGCUGCUGCUAAUACAAGCUGCAAACCAUAUUUCUUUUAAGUAUGGGAGAUAGUUUAAAAGGCAAAAGCUGGGAAUAGGAGAGGGAGUGUAUCAAUCAGGGAGAGGAAGCUUCUUGGCUGGAGAAACUGGAAAAAACCUAGUGGGAAAAGCACACACUGGAUCAUUUUUACUCUAUCUGUCUAAAAUCCUUUGAACGUUCUAAAAAGUCAAUGUGAGUAUUUUUAUUUACUUUUUCAAAGUUCUGCUCAGAGAUUUGUUUUCUCAGUGGUCCUUGGCUUAUAUGAGCAGUGUGACUAAUCUAGUGGAGAUGAAUAAUGGAUCUGUGAGGAAUAGAGGAAUUCUGAUUCAAAAACAUUUCUCUUUUUUUUUUUUGGUGGUGGUAUUUUAUGCUGCUUGGCAUUCAAUACAUUAUAUAAUGACUGUCAGGAGGACUUUGGUAAAACUUGACGGUAAAGUUUAUAAACACUUUAGUCAUGAUUUAGAAAUGAUGGAUGGAAAAUGUUAUUUAUGCAUAAUGGUAUUUAUGCCUAAUUAUGUGAUGUUUUACUCUGUUCUGAGCACAGUCAUAAGCAAAUGAAUGUGCUGUCAUUAACAACUGCACCUUUGAUUCCUAAAUAGGUUUUUUACCAUGGGCAGACAGAGCAAAGUAAAGAAUGAGCUCUUCACAAGGGACUGGAGCACGAGGGGCAGGGAGGGGAUGGAGAGAGAAAGCAGAAAUUCUGGUCAAGGUCAUUUUUGGGAGCUCAAGACCUCAGCCCUGCAAAUGGACCUGGAUCAGCCAAAUCUCCAAGGCAGGAGCUGACACCAGCGUGGAAUUCCCAGAGUGCAGCCUCAACAAG